RNAcentral lists this long non-coding RNA (301 nucleotides) under Carica papaya (papaya). Its description in RNAcentral is "long non-coding RNA (CPAP_LNC015342)". Lineage: Eukaryota; Viridiplantae; Streptophyta; Magnoliopsida; Brassicales; Caricaceae. The record is from RNAcentral.
CUUGCAGCGGUGAUCCGCCUCGGGUUGGCUAUUUUUGGCCGUUUUUGCCCGAAUUCAGCCAAAUUUGCAUCAGUUCUUACGAGAAAACACACUUACGGCAUUUUAUUGGCUGAAAAAUAUAAAAAACCAAAACUCACCGGUGGCGAGGCUCUCUAGUGCGGUGGCUCUACCGGCUCACGUUGCAAUUGGAUCUUUCAUUGGCUAACCUGUAGAGAAGGAAACAGUGAUCACAAGGGUGAAAAAAUCACAUCGAAUGAGAAUCGGGAAGGGGCUCAUCAUAGGCGUUUUCCAAAAUACCCUA